UUGAAGAUAAAUUUUAUUUCCAGAAAAUGAGCACUCCUUUUUGGGUUACAGUUGCUCACUCAUUUUUCCUUAAAUGCAAAUUGAACCACAGGGGAGAAGUGGGAGCUGAAUGAGUGCUUUCAUUGCAGAAGGUAGGCUGCUACAGUAGAAACGAUAAACUUUGGACUCUCAUGAAAUUUUGAUUACAUUCCAGUUUGGUCCCUUAAUAUCUGUGUGACAACAGUUAAAAGAUGCUGUCCUCUGAGCCUCGGCUUCUUCAAAUGCAAAAGGAAGAUGCUAAUAUCACCUUCCUUCAUAAGCAUUAAAUGAAAUAAUGUCUUUGCAAACACCCAGUAUGGAGCCGAGCACACGGUAGGAAUACAUAAAAUGUAAGCUUUUACCCUCCCUUCAAUGAAAUGAAUCAAUACAUGUCCAGCCUGCCCUCCAGAGUUUAAGAAGUUUGUCCAAGGUCACACAGCGAGUAAAUAUGCAAACCAGAAAGGGACCCUACCCUGUGUGCUCUCUACUCCACAGUCCUGAGGCCCUCCUGCGUGCUGCUAUGGGGGCUACAAAGACCAUCAUGUCUGGACCUUGCCCUCAAGGAGCUCACAGUCUAAAGAGGGAGAACUGAAGAUGCACGCACAGAAUUGCCACCAGGGAACCGUUGUCACCUUUGGUGCUACAGGUGAAGUGGGAGAAGAGGUGACUGCUUCCAGAGGAGGGGGACCAGACUUCACAAGCACAUACGAGUCCUGUGGCACAGCGUGUUGAAGAUCUUGUCUAGCGUGGGGCCUGGCAGUCAGCAGGAACUCAUUGGAUGUUGGAUAGAUGGAUGGACAACAGUGAGUGGACAAUAAGGGAUAUAAGGUGGUUGGUUAGCUGCCUGGCCAGUGGCCAGAGGGGUAGAUAGAUGAACAGAUGGUGUGGUGAAUGAGAAGAUAGUGGAAUAUGGCUAGACAAGUGGGAGGGUGAGUGCUAGGGUCUGAAUGGCUGUGUUCCCCCCACCAAAUUUAUGAUGAAAUCCUAAUCCUCAGUGUGAGGGUGUCAGGUGGUGGGGUCUUUGGGAGGUAAUUAGGCUGUGAGGGUGGAGGCUUCAUGGAUGGUAUUAGUACCCCAGAGGUUUCCCUCUCCCUCCUGCCCCGUGAGGACCCAGUGAGAAGGCCCUUCCCCCACACCAAAUCUGCUGGUGCCUUGAUCUUGGACCUCCAGCCUCCAAAAGUGUGAAAAAUAAGUUUCUGUUGUUUACAAGCCACCAUCUAUGAUACUUUUUUUUUUUUUUUUUAUAAAAGCCCAAACAGAUUUCAACAAUGGGAAAACAAGUGGUUUAGUAAGUGCGCUCAUAAGUGGCUGUGUGGACAAGCAGCUGUUAGAAUGAAUGGGAAAAUGAUGGUGGGUAGGUGGGUGAGUGGUUGGAUAGGUGGAUGGAUGGAUGAUGGGCAAGUGUGUGCAUCUGAGGAUGGACAGGUGGGUGGACACGGUUGGUGGAUGGGUAGUGAGGUGGGCAUGCACUGAAUGAGUGUGUGAGGUUAGAUGGAAGAGGGGGUGGGGAGGUGAGUAGAUGCAGUGAAGGACGAUGGACAGGGCUGGCAGGGUUGGAGGGGUGUAUGAAGAGGAGCCCGGGAAAUGAAUGGGUCCAAGACUUGACCAAGUGGCUGGAGGAGAAAGAAAAAGGCAAAAGAUCACUCCUGC
Macaca fascicularis (crab-eating macaque) is the source of this 1668-nucleotide long non-coding RNA. The record is from Ensembl. NCBI's taxonomy places the organism in Eukaryota, Metazoa, Chordata, Mammalia, Primates, Cercopithecidae.